RNAcentral lists this ribosomal RNA (357 nucleotides) under Triticum aestivum (bread wheat). Its description in RNAcentral is "partial small subunit ribosomal RNA". The record is from RNAcentral. Lineage: Eukaryota; Viridiplantae; Streptophyta; Magnoliopsida; Poales; Poaceae.
AUGGCUUUAGUUAGAAAAUAUGAAAAGCCAGACAUAUUCCUCACAAUGACCUGCAACCCCAGUUGGGAAGAGAUAACAUGUGAACUACAGUUUGGACAAACGCCACAAGAUCGCCCGGAUAUUGUAGUUCGUAUUUUCAGGGCGAAGCUAGAAGAAAUGAAGAAGCAACUAUUUAAGAAGAACAUUCCUGGAAAGGUCCAGGCAUAUACAUAUGUCAUAGAGUUCCAAAAGAGGGGACUACCCCAUGCUCACUUUUUACUGAUCAUGACCGGAAAAUAUAAGUACACAUGUCCAGAACGGUAUGACAUAAUCAUCUCUGCUGAGCUCCCUAACAAGCACAAAUACCCAGAUAGAUAA